AUUGAACGCUAGCGGGAUGCUUUACACAUGCAAGUCGAACGGCAGCGCGGACUUCGGUCUGGCGGCGAGUGGCGAACGGGUGAGUAAUGUAUCGGAACGUGCCCAGUAGCGGGGGAUAACUACGCGAAAGCGUAGCUAAUACCGCAUACGCCCUACGGGGGAAAGCAGGGGAUCGUAAGACCUUGCACUAUUGGAGCGGCCGAUAUCGGAUUAGCUAGUUGGUGAGGUAACGGCUCACCAAGGCGACGAUCCGUAGCUGGUUUGAGAGGACGACCAGCCACACUGGGACUGAGACACGGCCCAGACUCCUACGGGAGGCAGCAGUGGGGAAUUUUGGACAAUGGGGGCAACCCUGAUCCAGCCAUCCCGCGUGAGCGAUGAAGGCCUUCGGGUUGUAAAGCACUUUUGGCAGGAAAGAAACGUCGCGGGCUAAUACCCCGUGGAACUGACGGUACCUGCAGAAUAAGCACCGGCUAACUACGUG
This 484-nucleotide ribosomal RNA is filed under the name uncultured bacterium. RNAcentral describes it as "partial 16S ribosomal RNA". It matches the Rfam family "Bacterial small subunit ribosomal RNA", at positions 30 to 507 of the family's 1533-position model. The record is from RNAcentral.